AACAGGAUUAGAUACCCUGGUAGUCCACGCCCUAAACGAUGUCUACUAGUUGUCGGGUUUUAAUUAACUUGGUAACGCAGCUAACGCGUGAAGUAGACCGCCUGGGGAGUACGGUCGCAAGAUUAAAACUCAAAGGAAUUGACGGGGACCCGCACAAGCGGUGGAUGAUGUGGAUUAAUUCGAUGCAACGCGAAAAACCUUACCUACCCUUGACAUGUACGGAAGCCUGGAGAGAUUCGGGUGUGCUCGAAAGAGAGCCGUAACACAGGUGCUGCAUGGCCGUCGUCAGCUCGUGUCGUGAGAUGUUGGGUUAAGUCCCGCAACGAGCGCAACCCUUGUCAUUAGUUGCUACGAAAGAGCACUCUAAUGAGACUGCCGGUGACAAACCGGAGGAAGGUGGGGAUGACGUCAAGUCCUCAUGGCCCUUAUGGGUAGGGCUUCACACGUCAUACAAUGGUACAUACAGAGGGCCGCCAACCCGCGAGGGGGAGCUAAUCCCAGAAAGUGUAUCGUAGUCCGGAUUGUAGUCUGCAACUCGACUACAUGAAGUUGGAAUCGCUAGUAAUCGCGGAUCAGCAUGUCGCGGUGAAUACGUUCCCGGGUCUUGUACACACCGCCCGUCACACCAUGGGAGCGGGUUUUACCAGAAGUAGGUAGCUUAACCGCAAGGGGGGCGCUUACCACGGUAGGAUUCGUGACUGGGGUGAAGUCGUAACAAGGUAACC
This 725-nucleotide ribosomal RNA is filed under the name uncultured bacterium. RNAcentral's name for it is "bacterial SSU rRNA". It matches the Rfam family "Bacterial small subunit ribosomal RNA", at positions 771 to 1501 of the family's 1533-position model. The record is from RNAcentral.